RNAcentral lists this small nuclear RNA (105 nucleotides) under Myotis brandtii (Brandt's bat). Lineage: Eukaryota; Metazoa; Chordata; Mammalia; Chiroptera; Vespertilionidae. The record is from RNAcentral.
GCUCACUCCAGUUGCACGUAUACUAAAAUUGGAAUAAUACAGAGAAGAUUAGCAUGGCCCCUGUGCAAGGAUGACACGCAAAUUCGUGGAGUGUUCCAUAUAUUU